CCUACGGGAGGCAGCAGUGGGGAAUCUUCCGCAAUGGGCGCAAGCCUGACGGAGCAAUGCCGCGUGAACGAAGAAGGUCUUCGGAUUGUAAAGUUCUGUCCUUAUCGAGGAGAGAAUAUAGAGUGACAAAUUAUAUACUAGGCCUUUAGUUGAGGAGGAAGCCCCGGCUAACUACGUGCCGGCAGCCGCGGUAAUACGUAGGGGGCGAGGGUUGUCCGGAAUCACUGGGCGUAAAGGGCCCGUAGGCGGUAAUAUAAGUCAGUUGUGAAAGGUGGGGGCUUAACCCAGAGAGUGCAACUGAUACUGGAUAACGUGAGUGCGAGAGAGGGAAGUGGAAUUCCACGUGUAGCGGUGAAAUGCGUAGAGAUUAGGAGGAACACCAGUGGCGAAGGCGGCUUUUUGG
RNAcentral lists this ribosomal RNA (403 nucleotides) under uncultured bacterium. RNAcentral describes it as "partial 16S ribosomal RNA". It matches the Rfam family "Bacterial small subunit ribosomal RNA", at positions 338 to 732 of the family's 1533-position model. The record is from RNAcentral.